Molecule: ribosomal RNA, 254 nt
Filed under: uncultured bacterium
Lineage: Bacteria
Description: partial 16S ribosomal RNA
Rfam family: Bacterial small subunit ribosomal RNA
Source: RNAcentral
UACGUAGGGACCAAGCGUUGUUCGGAUUUACUGGGCGUAAAGGGCGCGUAGGCGGCGUGUUAAGUCAGCUGUGAAAUCUCCGAGCUUAACUCGGAACGGUCAGCUGAUACUGAUGUGCUAGAGUGCAGAAGGGGCAAUCGGAAUUCUUGGUGUAGCGGUGAAAUGCGUAGAUAUCAAGAGGAACACCUGAGGUGAAGACGGGUUGCUGGGCUGACACUGACGCUGAUGCGCGAAAGCCAGGGGAGGCAAACGGG